Long non-coding RNA from Cornus florida, 541 nucleotides. RefSeq lists it as uncharacterized. The transcript has 2 exons. Lineage: Eukaryota; Viridiplantae; Streptophyta; Magnoliopsida; Cornales; Cornaceae. The record is from RefSeq and is a predicted model, not a curated record.
CCCAAAUGCUCCCACAGCCUAUAUAAAUAUCCCAACUUAUACAUGUACGUGUAGAUAAAAUUAUAACCUUAGGCGUACUACAUCGAUUGCUAGGUUUAACAAGCAAUGGCAUUUGAUAAUAAAAGGUCUAUUCUGGCGGUGUUUAUCUUAUUUGCAGUAGUUUUAUCUCCUACAUUAACAUGUAAUGCAGCUCGAUUCACUCAACGAGAACUUCUGACCGGACCUAUAUGUCCUGCCUGUGUCUGUUGUUCACCUCCACCUCCGAACUCAUGUUGCCCUUGCUGUUCUACUCCUGUCCCGACAUCUGGAACUGUUACUCCAUGAAGCACGUCAUACCUAUCACUUAUGAUCAGUUUAAGGCACUGGCACUUCAACGUCAAUUCAGUACCAUAUAUAUAUAUAUAUAUAUAUAAUUAAUGUAUUAAAAACAUAAAUAAUGAAGUGUCUAUGGAUAUUUAUUACUAUAAUAUUUUUCUUUUGACAUAGUAUUUCAAUAAUGUAUGUUACUAUGUUGGAAUAAAGAUGGACUUUCUCCUCUCAA